AUGACACACGUCCUAGUUCACCUGUGCGAAGAGAUUAACGUUUUGGGUCCUGUAUUUCUACACAAUAUGUUCCCCUUUGAGAGGUUCAUGGGAGUCUUAAAGAAAUAUGUUCAUAACCGUGCUAGGCCAGAAGGAAGCAUCUCCAAGGGCCAUCAAAAUGAGGAGGUCAUUGAGUUUUGUAUUGACUUUAUUCCUGACCUUAAGCCGAUUGGUGUUCCUGAAUCGCGGCAUAAGGGCAGACUGGAUGGAAAAGGCACGCUAGGAGGGGAACAAAUAAUAUGUAUGGACGGACAUUCUCUCACUGAAGCACACUACACAGUUCUACAGAAUUCCGCCUUGGUGGCUCCGUAUAUGGAUGAACACAAGAAUUUGCUACACUCCAAACACCCGGAGCGGUCUGAUGACUGGAUUACACGUGAACAAACCAGGAGUUUCGCCAGCUGGUUGCAGACACGUACCAUGCAUGACACCUCUAUUGAAGAUGACCUGUACUUGCUGUCCCAGUUACCAUCUUCGAAUAUAAUGACUUUCAAAGGGUACGAGAUAAAUGGUAAUACAUUUUACACGAUCGCCCAAGAUAAGAAGAGCACCAACCAAAACAGUGGUAUCCGCUUUGAUGCAGAAACCAAGACGGGAAAGGAAACAUAUUAUGGUUAUAUACAGGACAUAUGGGAACUUGACUAUCGACGUGGUUUAAAGGUCCCUUUGUUUCGGUGCAAAUGGAUCAAUAUGACACGAGGCGGGGUAACGGAAGACCCGCGGUACGGAAUGACAACAGUGGAUCUCAACAAUCUUGCAUAUGCAGACGAACCAUUCGUCCUAGCUAAUGAUGUGGCACAGGUUUUCUAUGUGAAGGACAUGUCUAUCAAGCCAAGAAAAAGAAAAGAUAAGGAAGCGAAUGCAUCGUACGAUGAGCCAAAGCGACACAUAGUUCUUUUUGGGAAGAGAAACAUCGUGGGAGUGGAUGACAAGACAGACAAGUUAGAAGAUUAUGAAAAGUUUGAUGAAAUUGCUCCAUUCACAGUGAAUAUUGACUCGAGCAUCCCGUUAAAUGAUGAAGAUUUUCCAUGGUUACGACGCAAAGGAACACACGCGAAGAAAAAGUUUCACACCCAAAGAUCUGGGAUGUGA
RNAcentral lists this ribosomal RNA (1131 nucleotides) under Triticum aestivum (bread wheat). RNAcentral's name for it is "partial small subunit ribosomal RNA". Lineage: Eukaryota; Viridiplantae; Streptophyta; Magnoliopsida; Poales; Poaceae. The record is from RNAcentral.